GCUUACGGCUAUACUAGCCUGAAUACGCCCGAUCUCGUCUGAUCUCGGAAUCCAAUCAGGUCGGGCCUGGUAAGUACUUGAAUGGGGGACCGCCUGGGAAUACCAGGUGCUGUUAGCU
Molecule: ribosomal RNA, 118 nt
Filed under: Scophthalmus maximus (turbot)
Lineage: Eukaryota; Metazoa; Chordata; Actinopteri; Pleuronectiformes; Scophthalmidae
Source: RNAcentral